Molecule: unclassified non-coding RNA, 204 nt
Organism: Cricetulus griseus (Chinese hamster)
Lineage: Eukaryota; Metazoa; Chordata; Mammalia; Rodentia; Cricetidae
Product: predicted gene, 27528
Source: Ensembl
GGAAGGCAGAAGGUUUUGCUUGGAUUUCUGGGCUGACCACGUGGCCAUACAUUCAACACUCCAAGAUGCUGUUCCUGGAGCCAGACAGUGAGUUAGGGCUGCAAACAGGAUCUGAAUGCCACCCCCCCUGCUCUGGAGAGGCCCCUCCAUGUAAACAGUACAAGUUUCUGGGAAACGUACAGAAGGCCAGACUGUUGGGAAAGG